CCUACGGGAGGCAGCAGUGAGGAAUAUUGGUCAAUGGACGCAAGUCUGAACCAGCCAUGCCGCGUGCAGGAAGACGGCUCUAUGAGUUGUAAACUGCUUUUGUACGAGGGUAAACGCAGAUACGCGUACAUGUCUGAAAGUAUCGUACGAAUAAAGAUCGGCUAACUCCGUGCCAGCAGACGCGGUAAUACGGAGGAUUCAAGCGUUAUCCGGAUUUAUUGGGUUUAAAGGGUGCGUAGGCGGUCGGAUAAGUUAGAGGUGAAAUCCCGAGGCUCAACUUCGGAAUUGCCUCUGAUACUGUUCGGCUAGAGAGUAGUUGCGGUAGGCGGAAUGUAUGGUGUAGCGGUGAAAUGCUUAGAGAUCAGACAGAACACCGAUUGCGAAGGCAGCUUACCAAGCUACUUCUGACGUUGAGGCACGAAAGCGUGGGGAGCAAACAGGAUUAGAUACCCUGGUAGUC
Molecule: ribosomal RNA, 460 nt
Filed under: uncultured bacterium
Lineage: Bacteria
Description: partial 16S ribosomal RNA
Rfam family: Bacterial small subunit ribosomal RNA
Source: RNAcentral